UACAGAGGUCCCGAGCGUUGUUCGGAUUCACUGGGCGUAAAGGGUGCGUAGGCGGCAUGGUAAGUUUGAUGUGAAAGCUCAGGGCUUAACCCUGAAAUGGCAUUGAAUACUACUGUGCUGGAGGUUUGGAGGGGGGACUGGAAUUCUUGGUGUAGCAGUGAAAUGCGUAGAUAUCAAGAGGAACACCAGUGGCGAAGGCGAGUCCCUGGACAACACCUGACACUGAGGCACGAAAGCGAGGGGAGCAAACAGG
RNAcentral lists this ribosomal RNA (253 nucleotides) under uncultured bacterium. Its description in RNAcentral is "partial 16S ribosomal RNA". It matches the Rfam family "Bacterial small subunit ribosomal RNA", at positions 524 to 776 of the family's 1533-position model. The record is from RNAcentral.